This 446-nucleotide ribosomal RNA is filed under the name uncultured bacterium. RNAcentral describes it as "partial 16S ribosomal RNA". It matches the Rfam family "Bacterial small subunit ribosomal RNA", at positions 329 to 792 of the family's 1533-position model. The record is from RNAcentral.
CCCCAGACUCCUACGGGAGGCAGCAGUGGGGAAUAUUGCACAAUGGGGGAAACCCUGAUGCAGCGACGCCGCGUGAGCGAUGAAGUAUUUCGGUAUGUAAAGCUCUAUCAGCAGGGAAGAAAAUGACGGUACCUGACUAAGAAGCCCCGGCUAACUACGUGCCAGCAGCCGCGGUAAUACGUAGGGGGCAAGCGUUAUCCGGAUUUACUGGGUGUAAAGGGAGCGUAGACGGCUGUGCAAGCCAGAUGUGAAAGCCCGGGGCUCAACCCCGGGACUGCAUUUGGAACUGUGUGGCUGGAGUGUCGGAGAGGCAGGCGGAAUUCCUAGUGUAGCGGUGAAAUGCGUAGAUAUUAGGAGGAACACCAGUGGCGAAGGCGGCCUGCUGGACGAUGACUGACGUUGAGGCUCGAAAGCGUGGGGAGCAAACAGGAUUAGAUACCCGUGUA